RNAcentral lists this ribosomal RNA (253 nucleotides) under uncultured bacterium. Its description in RNAcentral is "partial 16S ribosomal RNA". It matches the Rfam family "Bacterial small subunit ribosomal RNA", at positions 524 to 776 of the family's 1533-position model. The record is from RNAcentral.
UACGUAGGGAGCAAGCGUUGUCCGGAAUCAUUGGGCGUAAAGCGCGCGUAGGCGGCCCUGUAAGUCCGUUGUGAAAGUCAAAGGCUCAACCUUUGAAAGCCGAUGGAUACUGCAGGGCUAGAGUCCGGAAGAGGCGAGUGGAAUUCCUGGUGUAGCGGUGGAAUGCGCAGAUAUCAGGAGGAACACCAGUGGCGAAGGCGGGUCUCUGGGCAGUAACUGACGCUGAGGAGCGAAAGCGUGGGGAGCGAACAGG